GUCUCCAUAGUGUAGUGGUUAACACAUUGAUUUGUAAAUGAAAAGUUGCUGGUUCAAUUCCAGCUGGAGACA
Non-coding RNA from Archocentrus centrarchus (flier cichlid), 72 nucleotides. The record is from the annotation of a RefSeq genome assembly. NCBI's taxonomy places the organism in Eukaryota, Metazoa, Chordata, Actinopteri, Cichliformes, Cichlidae.